AUACUUAGGGUGCAAGCGUUGCUCGGAAUUACUGGGCGUAAAGGGCGCGUAGGCGGAUUAUCAAGUCAGAGGUGAAAGCCCUGGGCUCAACCCAGGAACUGCGUUUAAUACUGAUAAACUAGAGACCGGGAGAGGGUGGCGGAAUUCCCAGUGUAGAGGUGAAAUUCGUAGAUAUUGGGAGGAACACCGGUGGCGAAGGCGGCCACCUGGACGGUGGCUGACGCUGAGACGCGAAAGCGUGGGGAGCAAACAGGAUUAGAUACCCCAGUAGUCC
Molecule: ribosomal RNA, 274 nt
Filed under: uncultured bacterium
Lineage: Bacteria
Description: partial 16S ribosomal RNA
Rfam family: Bacterial small subunit ribosomal RNA
Source: RNAcentral